Molecule: ribosomal RNA, 1133 nt
Filed under: uncultured organism
Description: bacterial SSU rRNA
Rfam family: Bacterial small subunit ribosomal RNA
Source: RNAcentral
GCUCAGGAUGAACGCUAGCGGCAGGCCUAACACAUGCAAGUCGAGGGGUAACGAUGGCUUCGGCCAGGCGGCGACCGGCGCACGGGUGAGUAUCGCGUUUGUAACCUGCCUCUAACUGGAGGAUAGCCCGAAGAAAUUCGGAUUAAUACUCCAUAAAGCCAUGAUUUGGCAUCAUUUCAUGGUUAAAGCUCCGGCGGUUAGAGAUGGGCAUGCGUGACAUUAGUUAGUUGGUGAGGUAACGGCUCACCAAGACAACGAUGUCUAGGGGGUCUGAGAGGAUGGUCCCCCACACUGGUACUGAGACACGGACCAGACUCCUACGGGAGGCAGCAGUGAGGAAUAUUGGUCAAUGGGCGCAAGCCUGAACCAGCCAUGCCGCGUGAAGGAUGACAGCCCUAUGGGUUGUAAACUUCUUUUGUACGGGAAGAAACACUUCUACGUGUAGAAGCUUGACGGUACCGUACGAAUAAGCAUCGGCUAACUCCGUGCCAGCAGCCGCGGUAAUACGGAGGAUGCAAGCGUUAUCCGGAUUCAUUGGGUUUAAAGGGUACGUAGGCGGGAGAUUAAGUCAGUGGUGAAAUCCUGCAGCUUAACUGUGGAACUGUCAUUGAUACUGGUCUUCUUGAAUAUAGUUGAAGUAGGCGGAAUGUGUAAUGUAGCGGUGAAAUGCUUAGAUAUUACACAGAACACCUAUUGCGAAGGCAGCUUACUAAACUAUGAUUGACGCUGAGGUACGAAAGCGUGGGGAGCGAACAGGAUUAGAUACCCUGGUAGUCCACGCUGUAAACGAUGAUCACUCGUUGUUGGCGACAUAUUGUCAGCGACUGAGCGAAAGCAUUAAGUGAUCCACCUGGGGAGUACGAUCGCAAGAUUGAAACUCAAAGGAAUUGACGGGGGCCCGCACAAGCGGAGGAACAUGUGGUUUAAUUCGAUGAUACGCGAGGAACCUUACCUGGGCUUAAAUGUAGAACGACGGAUCGGGAAACUGAUCUUUCUUCGGACGGUCUGCAAGGUGCUGCAUGGCUGUCGUCAGCUCGUGCCGUGAGGUGUCGGGUUAAGUCCCAUAACGAGCGCAACCCUCAUCAUUAGUGACCAGCGGGUAAUGCCGGGGACUCUAAUGAAACUGCCGGUGU